Molecule: ribosomal RNA, 506 nt
Filed under: uncultured bacterium
Lineage: Bacteria
Description: partial 16S ribosomal RNA
Rfam family: Bacterial small subunit ribosomal RNA
Source: RNAcentral
AGUGAACGCUGGCGGUAGGCCUAACACAUGCAAGUCGAACGGCAGCACAGAGGAGCUUGCUCCUUGGGUGGCGAGUGGCGGACGGGUGAGGAAUACAUCGGAAUCUACUCUGUCGUGGGGGAUAACGUAGGGAAACUUACGCUAAUACCGCAUACGACCUACGGGUGAAAGCAGGGGACCUUCGGGCCUUGCGCGAUUGAAUGAGCCGAUGUCGGAUUAGCUAGUUGGCGGGGUAAAGGCCCACCAAGGCGACGAUCCGUAGCUGGUCUGAGAGGAUGAUCAGCCACACUGAAACUGAGACACGGUCCAGACUCCUACGGGAGGCAGCAGUGGGGAAUAUUGGACGAUGGGCGCAAGCCUGAUCCAGCCAUACCGCGUGGGUGAAGAAGGCCUUCGGGUUGUAAAGCCCUUUUGUUGGGAAAGAAUUCCAGCUGGCUAAUACCCGGUUGGGAUGACGGUACCCAAAGAAUAAGCACCGGCUAACUUCGUGCCAGCCGCCGCAGUAA